UGAACAUUCCAGGCUCUGUGAACUAAGUGACUGAAGCUGAUUGACACAGGUCAAGGGGACUUCAAGGAAGAAAGCCAGCCUUAGACUGACAUCAGAGAACCAAACUCCGGUGUCUAAGCUCAAGUAAUACAAGUAAUUGGGAAGACACUGGCUCAGAGCCUGUCUCUGGUGACCACUGAAUUGUCCAGCACCUGAGGUCCCUGGAGCCCACGGACUGAGCCCAUCUGGGCUAAAAGAGGUCCCAUACAUCCUUCUCAAAGGCCUAUAUAAAUGCCAAGCAGAGUUAUAGCAGGAGGUUAGAAUCCUGAGAACUGUUUGGAAUAAGGAAUCCAAAUAUUGUCUUCCAGCUUCACCUUGUCACGACAGUCCUCGCCAGGGACAGCUGAGCAUCUACAUCUCCAUUUAUGCCGUGUGCACGCAGUACCAACAGAGGUCAGAGGAGGGUGUCGGAUCCCCUGGAACUGGAGUCACAGAUUCUUCCUUGCGUGGAUGAAACAGUCCCAACGAACACUUUAAAAAGACAAAUGUUCCCGACAGCACUGGUUGAAUUCAAAACUCGGCAGAUCCAUGUUCUUAUCCUUAGACAAGAGAGGGGCCAUAACAAGAUGGAAUGACGGAACAGACGUGAGAGAUGAUGGUACAGUGACUCGGGUAACCCCAGAAAAGGGACAGCUCUUCUACAGCUCAGUGGGGACAGGGACAAAAAGAAACAAUUUCAUUUCAGUCCACCCAGAGGGUCUGCACUUCUCGGAGCCAGAAGGUGGAGAAGAGUAGGGAUGGAGGAAGUUCGAAGUUUUAGGAGUCUGCUCUUGGGUCCCUAGGCAUGAGGACAAGCUUUUCCUGUACUCAAUGCUCAUCUCUCAGUUGUGCCCACAUUGGUACACAUUACUUGCUUUCAACUGCUGCUGCUGCUGUUUCCUAAUUCAAUAAAGAUAUGGCUGGCUCAGCAGAGAGCUGUCAUCCA
RNAcentral lists this long non-coding RNA (964 nucleotides) under Mus musculus (house mouse). RNAcentral's name for it is "predicted gene 29154, transcript variant 12 (Gm29154)". Lineage: Eukaryota; Metazoa; Chordata; Mammalia; Rodentia; Muridae. The record is from RNAcentral.